CCUAUGUGGAUAGCGGUGCCGCCCAACUAGACGGAGCGGCAUCCUUGGCGUCGCGCACCGCUCGGAAUAGCCGCCGAGCGCGGCGCUUUCAGCUUUGACUUCAUUGCCGCUGACCUAUCAAGGCGCGACCAAUGGCUGAGCCAAGAAGCAAUGAUGACGUCCCUGCGCUGGUCGUGCAUCUAUGCACUGCGCGCCACUCGACGCACAGAUCUGCACGCGUUUUCAACUUGAAAUGACAAAACCCAAAAUGAAACCGUGCCCUUCCUGCCAGGCUCCAAACAGGCUCAACAGAAAAACCUGUUUUGCCUGCCUUUUCUGCUUCCCAUAUAAGCAGAAGCAAAAAAAACAACAGGCAAAAGUAAAAAAUACCAACUGGGCCUCAUCAAUUAAAAAAAACAAAAAUAAUGGCAAGAUCUUAGAUGCUGCCCAGUUGUCGGUUUUAAAAUUGACAGCUCUUGGAUACAAGCCAAUCCUUUUUCUUGGUCAUCAAGACCGCAAGAGCCAGCUAAGUGGUGACAUUAUACAUUUUCUUGAGCCAACAGGGGUUGCUCAAGACAUCAUAGGAAAGAUGAGCAAGCUCUAUGA
Long non-coding RNA from Etheostoma spectabile (orangethroat darter), 585 nucleotides. RefSeq lists it as uncharacterized. Lineage: Eukaryota; Metazoa; Chordata; Actinopteri; Perciformes; Percidae. The record is from RefSeq and is a predicted model, not a curated record. The transcript is spliced from 3 exons.